AGCCUACGGGGGGCAGCAGUGGGGAAUAUUGGGCAAUGGGCGCAAGCCUGACCCAGCGACGCCGCGUGAGGGAAGACGGUCUUCGGAUUGUAAACCUCUUUCAGCAGGGAAGACAAAAGGACGGUACCUGCAGAAGAAGCCACGGCUAACUACGUGCCAGCAGCCGCGGUAAUACGUAGGUGGCAAGCGUUGUCCGGAUUUACUGGGUGUAAAGGGCGUGUAGCCGGGCCGGCAAGUCAGAUGUGAAAUCCCAAGGCUCAACCUUGGAACUGCAUUUGAAACUGUUGGUCUUGAGUAUCGGAGAG
RNAcentral lists this ribosomal RNA (305 nucleotides) under uncultured bacterium. Its description in RNAcentral is "bacterial SSU rRNA". It matches the Rfam family "Bacterial small subunit ribosomal RNA", at positions 335 to 656 of the family's 1533-position model. The record is from RNAcentral.